RNAcentral lists this ribosomal RNA (700 nucleotides) under uncultured bacterium. RNAcentral's name for it is "bacterial SSU rRNA". It matches the Rfam family "Bacterial small subunit ribosomal RNA", at positions 806 to 1501 of the family's 1533-position model. The record is from RNAcentral.
ACGAUGCACACUAGUUGUUGCUAUGCUAGACAUAGCAGUAAUGCAGUUAACACAGUAAGUGUGCCGCCUGGGGAGUACGGUCGCAAGAUUAAAACUCAAAGGAAUAGACGGGGACCCGCACAAGCGGUGGAGCAUGUGGUUUAAUUCGACGAUACGCGAAGAACCUUACCUGGCCUUGACAUAGAUAGAACUUACUAGAGAUAGUUUGGUGCUAGUUUACUAGAGCUAUCAUACAGGUGCUGCACGGCUGUCGUCAGCUCGUGUCGUGAGAUGUUGGGUUAAGUCCCGCAACGAGCGCAACCCUCGUGUUUAGUUGCUAACAGUUCGGCUGAGGACUCUAGACAGACUGCCUGGGUAACCAGGAGGAAGGUGAGGACGACGUCAAGUCAUCAUGGCCCUUACGGCCAGGGCUACACACGUGCUACAAUGGGGUAUACAAAGAGCAGCGAUACCGCGAGGUGGAGCAAAUCUCAUAAAAUAUCUCCCAGUUCGGAUAGUAGUCUGCAACUCGACCCCAUGAAGUUGGAAUCGCUAGUAAUCGCGGAACAGCAUGCCGCGGUGAAUACGUUCCCGGGCCUUGUACACACCGCCCGUCACACCAUGGGAAUUGGGUCUACCCGAAGGUGGUGCGCCAACUAUUUAUAGAGGCAGCCAACCACGGUAGGUUCAGUGACUGGGGUGAAGUCGUAACAAGGUAACC